This 501-nucleotide ribosomal RNA is filed under the name uncultured bacterium. RNAcentral describes it as "partial 16S ribosomal RNA". It matches the Rfam family "Bacterial small subunit ribosomal RNA", at positions 29 to 523 of the family's 1533-position model. The record is from RNAcentral.
AUUGAACGCUGGCGGCAUGCCUUACACAUGCAAGUCGAACGGCAGCACGGGUGCUUGCACCUGGUGGCGAGUGGCGAACGGGUGAGUAAUACAUCGGAACGUACCUUAUCGUGGGGGAUAACGCAGCGAAAGCUGUGCUAAUACCGCAUACGCCCUGAGGGGGACAGCGGGGGAUCGCAAGACCUCGCGCGAUUAGAGCGGCCGAUGCUUGAUUAGCUAGUUGGUGGGGUAAAAGCCCACAAAGCCCACGAUCAGUCGCUGGUCUGAGAGGACGAUCAGCCGCACGGGGAGUGCGACACGAGCCAGACACCUACGGGAGGCAGCAGGGGGGAAAUUUGGACAAUGGGGGCAACCAUGAACCAGCAAUGCAGCGUGAGUUAAGAAGGCGUUCGGGUUGUAAAGCUCUUUUGUCAGGGAAGAAACACCGGCUCUAACACAGUCCGGGAAUGACGGUACCUGAAGAAUAAGCACCGGCUAACUACGUGCCAGCCGCCGCAGUAA